This 253-nucleotide ribosomal RNA is filed under the name uncultured bacterium. RNAcentral describes it as "partial 16S ribosomal RNA". It matches the Rfam family "Bacterial small subunit ribosomal RNA", at positions 524 to 776 of the family's 1533-position model. The record is from RNAcentral.
UACGAAGGGGGCUAGCGUUGCUUGGAAUCACUGGGCGUAAAGGGUGCGUAGGCGGGGCUUUAAGUCAGGGGUGAAAUCCUGGAGCUCAACUCCAGAACUGCCUUUGAUACUGAGGAUCUUGAGUACGGGAGAGGUGAGUGGAACUGCGAGUGUAGAGGUGAAAUUCGUAGAUAUUCGCAAGAACACCAGUGGCGAAGGCGGCUCACUGGACUGGUAUUGACGCUGAGGUGCGAAAGCGUGGGGAGCAAACAGG